RNAcentral lists this unclassified non-coding RNA (267 nucleotides) under uncultured Ascomycota. RNAcentral describes it as "sequence contains 5.8S rRNA gene, ITS2, 28S rRNA gene". Lineage: Eukaryota; Fungi; Ascomycota. The record is from RNAcentral.
AACGCACAUUGCGCCCUUUGGUAUUCCGAGGGGCAUGCCUGUUCGAGCGUCAUUUUCACCCCUCAAGCCCGGCUUGUUGUUGGACGCGGCGGCGCCUUUUGCGCCCCGCCCGUCUCAAAGAUAAUGACGGCGUCUGCGAGGACCCCUGUACACUGAGCUUUCGGGCACGUACUAGGUGUGGAAUCCAGACCCGGUCACCGUCCCCUCAGGGACAAAACUUUUAACCAGGUUGACCUCGGAUCAGGUAGGAAUACCCGCUGAACUUAA